CUAAAAUUCUAAAUUAAACUACUC
RNAcentral lists this transfer RNA (24 nucleotides) under Zebrasoma scopas (twotone tang). RNAcentral's name for it is "partial tRNA-Pro". RNAcentral also lists the same sequence under 1 other name. The record is from RNAcentral. Lineage: Eukaryota; Metazoa; Chordata; Actinopteri; Acanthuriformes; Acanthuridae.